UAGGGAAUAUUGCACAAUGGGCGAAAGCCUGAUGCAGCAACGCCGCGUGCGCGACGAAGGCCUUCGGGUCGUAAAGCGCUUUUCGGGGAGACGAGGAAGGACGGUAUCCCCGGAAUAAGGCUCGGCUAACUACGUGCCAGCAGCCGCGGUAAAACGUAGGAGCCAAGCGUUAUCCGAAUUCACUGGGCGUAAAGCGCGUGCAGGCGGUCUGAUAAGUUGGGUGUGAAAGCUCCUGGCUCAACUGGGAGAGGACGUUCAAUACUGUCAGACUAGAGGGCAGCAGAGGGAGGUGGAAUUCCCGGUGUAGUGGUGAAAUGCGUAGAUAUCGGGAGGAACACCAGUGGCGAAGGCGACCUUCUGGGCUGUACCUGACGCUCAGAUGCGAAAGCUAGGGGAGCGAACGGGAUUAGAAACCCCGGUAGUCCUAGCUGUAAACGAUGUAGACUGGGUGUUGGUGGGUUAAAAGCCAUCGGUGCCGAAGCGAACGCGAUAAGUCUACCGCCUGGGGACUACGGCCGCAAGGUUA
Molecule: ribosomal RNA, 526 nt
Filed under: uncultured bacterium
Lineage: Bacteria
Description: bacterial SSU rRNA
Rfam family: Bacterial small subunit ribosomal RNA
Source: RNAcentral